Molecule: long non-coding RNA, 3864 nt
Filed under: Triticum aestivum (bread wheat)
Lineage: Eukaryota; Viridiplantae; Streptophyta; Magnoliopsida; Poales; Poaceae
Description: long non-coding RNA (TAES_LNC003398)
Source: RNAcentral
GAUAGAAUUUUCUUUUCUGUUUAUUUUUGUGACGCCCCCAAUUCAAUCGUACACUAAUCAUACACGCAAAUGUGUACGAUCAAGAUCAGGGACUCACGGGAAGAUAUCACAACACAACUCUAGACACAAAUUAAAAUAAUACAAACUUUAUAUUACAAGCCAGGGGCCUCGAGGGCUCGAAUACAUAAGCUCGAUUACACAAGAGUCAGCGGAAGCAACAAUCUGAGUACAGACAUGAGUUAAACAUUUUUGCCUUAAGAAGGCUAGCACAAAAGCAUCUACGAUCGAAAAGGCAAGGCCUCCUGCCUGGGAGCCUCCUAACUACUCCUGGUCGUCGGCGGUCUUCACGUAGUAGUAGGCACCCUCGUAGUAGUAGCAGUCGUCGUCAAAGGUGGCGUCUAGAUCCUAGGCUCUGACAUCUGGUUGCAUCAACCGGAAAGAAGAUGAAAGGGGGAAAACGGGAAGCAAAGCAACCGUGAGUACUCAUCCAAAAUACUCGCAAGCAAGGAUCUACACUACAUAUGCAACAUUAUCAAAGGAAGGUUGUAUAUGUGGACUGGGCUGCAGAAAUGCCAGAAUAGAGAGAAGGCCUAGUCCUAUCGAAGACUAGCAUCUUCUGGAAACCAUCAUCUUGCAGCAAACUGGAGGGAGUAGAGUAGCAUAAAGUAAAGUAGUGGUAGUGGUAUCAACCUCGGCCAGAGAUCCUUUCUCGACUCCCUGCGAGAAAGCAAUCUCAGAGCCAUACUAUCCAUUUCUCAUCACAAUCCAAUUCUCAUCACCAUCCAAUUCUCAUCACAAGUAUCCAGUUCUAGUUGUAUCGAUCGGGAUACAACUCCAAGUGUCCGUUAUCGUAGGACAGGCUAUCGAUAGAUGUUUUCUUCCCUGCAGGGGUGCACCAACUUACCCACCACGCUCGAUUAACUCCGGCCGGACACACUUUCCUGGGUCAUGCCCGGCCUCGGCCAAACAAUACGUCGCAACCCGACCUAGACUUAACAAAGAGGUCAGCAUGCCGGACUAAACCUAUGCCCCUAGGGUUCAUGGGCCAUCUCCCCGGGAACUCAUGCACGUUGCGAACGCGGCCGGUGAGCAGACCUAACUACCUCCUUAAAAAAGGCAGGUGCUUACCAAUCCAACCCGGCGCGCGCCGCUCAGUCACUGACGUCUAUUAAGCUUCGGCUGAUGUAUACAACGCAGAACGCUCAUACUAUGCCCACGUGAUGGUUAGUGCUAUCAGGCCAGAGGCCCCUCCAAUCAAAUAUCCAAAUCGUAGUGGAUUAGGAACGCGUGGUAACAAGCAGAGACUUACGAAAGAUGUGACCCCGUUGCCCCAUCUCGAGGACUUGCGGCAAGGGCUAAGAAUGCCCGGCCAUGCCUCGUAAUUAUCUCACGGGCACCUUCCAGGUCAACCCGACUCCACAUCACUCGCAAUUAUGCUCGCGCGGGUACCCCUCAGGGUCGACCCGUCUUUAGUAACAUGGUUCAGUGUCAAGUCAUAGUAACCAUAGUAACCGUGUGUCCAAACAUCAAGGGGAAAACCCGAGGAAUCACCCCCGGUGAAUCCAGUCGAUGUAAUCAUCAACGUGAACGUAAGAGGAAUCACCCCCGAGGUUCACACUUGAGGGGUUGCACGACAGAGUCGUAUCGGAAGUGGUUAAGGCGGAAUCACCCUCGAUGACCACGACCGAAUAACUACACUACAGGGUUAACAUCAGAAGUGUUGUAGAGGUCUCACCCUCGGCACUCGAUAGUAACCCAGCAAUGUCGAGCAACUAAGGGGAAAGUGAUGUGCGGUGCCGGGGCCUGGUCUUCGGUCCCGUUGAUCGGGUCUUCGAUGAUGAAGCAGGGGCGACAAGAAUAAGGUGGGGGUCACUGAUGGAUCACUAACCAACCUAUACUAAGCAGUUUAGGAUAAGCAGGUAAGGUACAACCGCAGAUACAAAAGCAGGCUAUGCAUCAGAAUAGGAGCAAUCAAUAACAGUAGCAAAAUCUAAUGCAAGCAUGAGAGAAUGGAAUGGGCGAUAUCGGGAUGAUCAAAGGGGAGGCUUGCCUAGUUGCUCUGGCAAGGAGGGGUCGUCGUCGACGUAGUCGAUCACAGGGGCAGCAUCGGUCUCGGGAUCUAGCGGAGAGAAGAGGGGGAAGAAACAGUAAAUAUAAAGCAAACAUAGCAUCACAAAUCAUAACGUGGCAAAAAGCUGUGUCGAGUGUGACCUAACGUAUGGCUACACGAUAUAGGUGAAGGGGGAAUUCAACCGGGAACGCUUUCCCGGUUCCAGACCUGUGUCAGACAAAUGACCGGAGGGGGAAUGUUCCGUGUUCAGAUAGUUAGAGGCAUCUGACAAGUAAACGGACCGCGCAUUUGGAUUCGCCUCGUCGUUCUGAGCAACUUUCAUGUAAAAAACAUUUUAAUCCGAGUUACGGUUCAUUUUAUAUGAUUUUUCAAAGUUUUGUUAAUAUUUUAAAAUUGUUUUAAUUAUUUAUUUCGAAUUUAAAUAAUGUUGACUCUUUUUAUACCCAGACUGGGCUAGCCACAGUCAAUGAUAUGUGGGGCUAGUCAAAGCCCAGUCAUUAGGUCAACAGUCAAAGUUGCCCUUGGUCAAAGUGUGAACAGUACUAAUGGGGCCUACUUGUCAUAAACAGUGUGUCUGUCAAGUCAAUUAAUUAGAGAUAACCAACAGGGGUGGUCCACAUGUCAUUUGCUAUUAAAGUAAAUUAACACUACUUAAUCUAGUCCUAAAUAAACAAGGGGCCGGUCGUACUGGACAAUGGCCCAGCCGGCCACACACGCAACACACACACACACCACAAAUUCAGUCAUGGCCAUCGCCAUGUUCAGUAGAAGCAACUGUCAACGGCAAUUCGGCAGCAGCUAGUACCAAUAGUAGUGAGGAGCAGCAGCAGCUCGCCAGCAGCAAGUAGCAGGAGCAGCACAGCAGCAGUACGCGGUAAGCAGCACGAUCAGCACGCAGCGACAUGGACCAGCAGCAACAACAGGGGAGCGGCGGCAGGGCGAGCGCGGGAGCAGUGGGCGGCGUGGGCGCACGACGAGGCAGUCAGCGAGCAUGGGCGGCUCCGCGGUGAUGCACCAAGCACGGCCGCGUGCUCAGGAGCAGGCUGUGGCUGUUGUGGCCGCGACGGCGAAACGACAGGCGGCGGCCGGAGUUCGGCAAGUGCGGGCUCGGCGCUACGGGUGCAGAGAGUAACCGGGGAGUGAUGGGAGACGGCGAGGAGCUCACCGAGCGGCACAAGAUGGCCGGCGACAGAUUAGGAGCAGCAGAGGUGGCGCAUCCGUCGGAGGAUCUCGUCGGAGUCGAGGAAGAAGACGAGCUCGUGGCGCUCGGCACAGCGGUUCCCGGCUAGACCCAGCGGUAGCAGGCGAUGCGGGAGGCAAUGGCGGAGCGGAGGGACUCGACAAGAAGGCAGGGGGAGCUAGGUGGCCUCCUCUAUGCCGUGGUCAUGGCGACGGUGGCGUUCGGCCCCGUUCCAGAUCGACGGAGAGGGAGAUGUGGAGAGGGGGAGAGAGAAAAAGAUCUGGGGCUGCCCAGGGGGUCCGCGGUGGUCUUCUUAUCCACCCCGGCGCCCUGUAGCGAUGCGAGGAGGCGAGCUGGUGCGACUGCGACGGCGAGCCGGUCGUCGGGUGCGCGUGCGUGCAGGGGGUUAGGGAAAGGCCGACCCAAAUGGGCCGGGCCAUACUGGUGGGUCAACUGGGCCAAGUGCACAGUGCACGUUUCCCAUUUUCCUUUUCUUUUACUGCAUUGUCAUUUCUGUUUGCAAAUUGUUUGGCCACCAAAACAUUUUUGAAAAGUGUCCAAUCUGGCCAAAUAAUUAUGACGCAAUAUACUGCACUGCCACAACAAGUUUGGG